AGUGAACGCUGGCGGUAGGCCUAACACAUGCAAGUCGAACGGCAGCACAGUAAGAGCUUGCUCUUACGGGUUGCGAGUGGCGGACGGGUGAGGAAUACAUCGGAAUCUACUUUUUCGUGGGGGAUAACGUAGGGAAACUUACGCUAAUACCGCAUACGACCUACGGGUGAAAGCAGGGGAUCUUCGGACCUUGCGCGAUUGAAUGAGCCGAUGUCGGAUUAGCUAGUUGGCGGGGUAAAGGCCCACCAAGGCGACGAUCCGUAGCUGGUCUGAGGGGAUGAUCAGCCACACUGGAACUGAGACACGGUCCAGACUCCUACGGGAGGCAGCAGUGGGGAAUAUUGGACAAUGGGCGCAAGCCUGAUCCAGCCAUACCGCGUGGGUGAAGAAGGCCUUCGGGUUGUAAAGCCCUUUUGUUGGGAAAGAAAAGCAGCAGGUUAAUACCCCGCUGUUCUGACGGUACCCAAAGAAUAAGCACCGGCUAACUUCGUG
RNAcentral lists this ribosomal RNA (492 nucleotides) under uncultured bacterium. Its description in RNAcentral is "partial 16S ribosomal RNA". It matches the Rfam family "Bacterial small subunit ribosomal RNA", at positions 29 to 507 of the family's 1533-position model. The record is from RNAcentral.